UACGGAGGGUGCAGGCGUUAUCCGGAUUCACUGGGUGUAAAGGGCGCGUAGGCGGCCUGAUAAGUCGGGGGUGAAAGCCUGUGGCUCAACCACAGAAUUGCCUUCGAUACUGUCGGGCUUGAGACCGGAAGAGGUAAGUGGAGCUGCGAGUGUAGAGGUGAAAUUCGUAGAUAUUGGGAAGAACACCGGUGGCGAAGGCGGCGGUCUGGUCCAUUUCUGACGCUGAGGAGCGAAAGCAUGGGGAGCGAACAGG
This 253-nucleotide ribosomal RNA is filed under the name uncultured bacterium. Its description in RNAcentral is "partial 16S ribosomal RNA". It matches the Rfam family "Bacterial small subunit ribosomal RNA", at positions 524 to 776 of the family's 1533-position model. The record is from RNAcentral.